AGUGAACGCUGGCGGUAGGCCUAGCACAUGCAAGUCGAACGGCAGCACAGUAAGAGCUUGCUCUUACGGGUGGCGAGUGGCGGACGGGUGAGGAAUACACCGGAAUCUACUUUUUCGUGGGGGAUAACGUAGGGAAACUUACGCUAAUACCGCAUACGACCUACGGGUGAAAGCAGGGGAUCUUCGGACCUUGCGCGAUUGAAUGAGCCGAUGUCGGAUUAGCUAGUUGGCGGGGUAAAGGCCCACCAAGGCGACGAUCCGUAGCUGGUCUGAGAGGAUGAUCAGCCACACUGGAACUGAGACACGGUCCAGACUCCUACGGGAGGCAGCAGUGGGGAAUAUUGGACAAUGGGCGCAAGCCUGAUCCAGCCAUACCGCGUGGGUGAAGAAGGCCUUCGGGUUGUAAAGCCCUUUUGUUGGGAAAGAAAAGCAGCAGGUUAAUACCCCGCUGUUCUGACGGUACCCAAAGAAUAAGCACCGGCUAACUUCGUG
This 492-nucleotide ribosomal RNA is filed under the name uncultured bacterium. Its description in RNAcentral is "partial 16S ribosomal RNA". It matches the Rfam family "Bacterial small subunit ribosomal RNA", at positions 29 to 507 of the family's 1533-position model. The record is from RNAcentral.